AGUGGUGUGCAUGACUUGUACAUGAAAAAAUGAAUAUGAACUCUUUCUUUUUGAACCCUGUGCAUACUCUUUGCUAGAAGCUUUGCUUGUCUGGUUUUGUAGUUUGACGUUAGUUACUGGCUAACACUGAAUGCUCUAAGUCUUGGAGUUUGACGUUAAAUGCUGAAAAUGGGUUUGCUGGAUAUCGAGAUGAACUACUGAAAUGCAAUGUUUUAGAGCAUUCAAUGUUAGUUACUGGCUACAUAUUUGUCGAAUAAUACCAUUAUCUUAACCACCAUGGUCCAUGUUGUCAUUAACCAACAAAACCGCCCCAAAAAGGAAGAUGAAAUCCCAAAGCCUAAUAGUGCAAUUGUUUUUUACACUAUAUACUGUAAUGUGUUCAUUGUUUAGAUUAGUCUUCUUUGUGGGGCAGUGGGCCUCACCUCUUAUCAAGUAAGUCUCUCAGCCGAUAUUAGGGACCAAGAAGAUUUUUGGAGCUUCCCACUGAAAUUACUCUCAGCCUUUGAUGUACAAAUAGUGCUCUUUCCCUUUCUUUCCCCUUUUAUGGUGUAAAGGUAGCAAAAACAACCUCUAAGUAAUUGUGUCAGCCAAAGUCGAAAGAGUUCGAGAUAGCAAUGGUCAAUAAGUAGAAACUAGGUUAGUUUACAUCCAUGUAUCUGCCCACAAUAGUUUUUUUUAGAAUGACAUUUUGACUACCCAUAAUCUUGUUUGCUGCCUCUCUGAUCUUAUAGUACUUUUUUUUAGAGAUACCAGCUCCAUUUUUUGCUGCUGCAAUAAUAGCAAAACAGAUGGGUGAAAAACUCUACUAGCCAUCAAUCAUGCAUGAACCAAUUUACUUUCCACUCCACAAGUCCAUAUGGUUUAUGCUAGAAUGUACUUAGUUUAUGUGAACACCAUCUGAGAUCUUCUUAGAAAAGGAGUGAACUUACCUUUUGCUGAAGAUGGAGACGUUGGUUGGAAUUUAAUUGAAGUUUUUGUUCUACUGGCUAACUCCUUUUUUGUAUCAAGACAUGUAUAGCUAGGCAUGCAACUUAGUUUUGAGAGAUUUGAAUCUGGAUAUGAUCUCUUUGCAAAUGUGUUAGCAACUGGAGGAUAGCAAGUAUGCAGACUACAAUUGACGAGUUAAAGAAAAACCAAGUAAGUAGCUUAUCAUUUUCUUCACUGGUGUUAUUUUGUACUACUUUGAGUAACGAACUUUUGUUUGUUUUCCUUUUUUGAACUUUCUAGGUUCAGAAUCCUGCAACAACUGAAGGACACCAACUACACCUAUUGUUUCUCUGUCGGUAAAAAGUUAUUUACUUUAGCAUUUUAGACUACGAUUUCAAGAAUGUAUGUUCAAGUGUUGAAUUUUCUAGUUAUUGAAAAGUUGCUAUUGAAAUGUCCUGAAACUUAAACAAAAGACAUAGACUAAGUGACUGAAAAACCUAAGUGACUAGGGCUACAUCACCCAUUUGACCAAGUAAGUUCAGUUAAAAAAUCAGGACGCUUCCUUUGUGACAACAACAGUCAAGUGGUGGAGGCAGAUAUCACAGUAGCAACAGAUUUUGACAACUCCCCAAUAGCAGCAAUUGUAGUAUCAGAUUUAGACUGUACCCCAAACAGAUUUAUAGUAGUAUCAGAUUUGGACCAUACUCCCUAAGAGUUUUGCACCAGCAUCACAGAAGUAGAUUAAUUUAAUUGAGAAGGCAACCAACAUCAGUCAUACCCCUGUAUAUCACACCCUCAUAGACAUGUCAGAUCCCCCAAAAUACUAUCCCCUAGUACUCAAACCCACAAGCAUAGAGAACCAACUAAACAUUGAAGGACGAAAGCUAUAAGGUUAUCUAGAGUGCUUUUAAUGAACUGCAAUUAUCACUACAACAAAUAGUGCUUUCAAUAGCAGAAGAUAAUAGCUUUUUUGGGACUAUGCUGUGAUAGGUGAGGCAUUCGUUCCUUGCCUUUUGAAAGAAACUGUAUAAAACUAGUAUGACUUUUCAGCAACAAGAUUUGAUAGCUAAAUUUUGGAUGCCCGUGCGCUUCUCAUCCGUGGUUGUUCCUUCUAAAAUUUUAGAAGUUCUACUUUCCCAAAGUUCUAGGUUUUAAUAAUGGGUCUUCGUCCAAAACAUUGCUCUCCCUAAAUCUAGUGCUAGUAAGCUUAAAUUGUCUCUGAAUCACAUCGCGUGAGAACCCUUUCAUCACUCCAGAGGCCAUUCUUCUCCACCCUCGCCUUUGAAGCAGCGGUUCCCGCUGGUCUCUCUCUCUCUCUCUCUCUCUCUCUCUCUCUCUGUGUAGCUAUUUACAAUGUGAACAUACAUACAGAGUAUAUUGUUUUGUAUACCCAUGUAUGCGAUUAAUUUUUUUCUUGGGAUAUUUUUAGUACUGGUGAUUUGAGCAGCAUAGAACAAUAUUCUUGAAUGAAACUUGUUGCUAGAGUAAUAAAGUUACCAUUUGAGCACCCAUGAUAGGAGUGGAAAAACUAUUUUCUUGUAAAAGAAUUUCUACCAACAUAACUUACAAUUACAGAGAACUUAAAGUCCCUUUAGAAUUGUGGUUGGGGCUUGAGCAGACGACCAUCAUGCAAAGGUUGUGUUUGUGUGAUUGAAGGAUUUUGAAAGCAAAUGGAAUGAUCAUUUCUUGGCCUCUCAUAUUAGAAUGUGUGUAGUGAAACUCUAAAGGUCCUCUAUUGGAAUUUUUCAUGAGGAAUUUUCUUUAUCAUGCUAACAUUGUGGGGAACAAUCGAGAGGUUCAUUUGCACGUUACUAAACAGUCAACUAGAACAACAUUCACGAUGUAGGUAGACUAGGCGAUGAAUAAUCCUAGUCUUUUGUUCUUAUAUGUACAAUAGUCAUGCUAAGGGUUCAAUAACUGCAUAUGAAUGUGAUAGAUGUGGUGGGAAUCUUUUGUAGGGCCUUGGAAGUUUGAAUUGAACUUUCGCAUGUGGUUCUCCUCUGAAUGCUGCCAUCAUGAUUGAUUUGCAUUUGAGAUCUACAUUGGAGCUUAACUUGAAUGUUAAUGUCCUCGUUGAGAGUACAAAAUGAACAAGAGAAGCGAUGCUCAUUGCAGAGGACAAAUUGAAGCGUUGCAUAAAUUGUUUAUCAGUCGACAUUUGUAUAGGUUUUUUUUUGUCUUUUCUUUCUUUGGAUAUAUUUUUUUCGGAUAUGGACAUUAGUAUCUUGACUUUGUUAUGUCAAGUUUUCACUUUUAUCUUUUGAUGUAAUUUAUGUUGGACGAAUUGCUAAUUUCUCGGUUUUAUGAUAUUGGCUUAAAAGUUCAAUGAUA
This is a long non-coding RNA of Rhododendron vialii, 3258 nucleotides long. RefSeq lists it as uncharacterized. NCBI's taxonomy places the organism in Eukaryota, Viridiplantae, Streptophyta, Magnoliopsida, Ericales, Ericaceae. The transcript has 2 exons. The record is from RefSeq and is a predicted model, not a curated record.